AGAGUUUGAUCCUGGCUCAGGAUGAACGCUAGCUACAGGCUUAACACAUGCAAGUCGAGGGGCAGCAUGAACUUAGCUUGCUAAGUUUGAUGGCGACCGGCGCACGGGUGAGUAACACGUAUCCAACCUUCCGUUUACUCAGGGAUAGCCUUUCGAAAGAAAGAUUAAUACCUGAUAGUAUGGUGAGAUUGCAUGAUAGCACCAUUAAAGAUUUAUUGGUAAACGAUGGGGAUGCGUUCCUACUU
Molecule: ribosomal RNA, 245 nt
Filed under: uncultured bacterium
Lineage: Bacteria
Description: partial 16S ribosomal RNA
Rfam family: Bacterial small subunit ribosomal RNA
Source: RNAcentral